UUGAUUUGUUUAUCAAUAUCUCAGACAAUUUUUCAAAAAAGAGUUUUAAGAUUUCUUCGGUGAAUACACGCCCACGAAAAGUCAACGGCUGUAUAAAACAGUCGAUUCACCGAAGUAAAAAGGUACAAGUACACAAAGGGUGGAAGGCGAUCUUUCAAUCGGACCUCAAUAAUGAUCCUUCCGCAGGUUCACCUACGGAAA
This 201-nucleotide unclassified non-coding RNA is filed under the name uncultured fungus. Its description in RNAcentral is "sequence contains ITS1". Lineage: Eukaryota; Fungi. The record is from RNAcentral.